UGCAAGAAAUGAAAACCAUUACUUUGUGAACAAGGGAUUCUUUCCUUGUGAUUCACAUCUGCUGGACAAUAUUGAUAAGAUAAGACAUAUUCAUACAAUAAUUGUACAGGGAAGGUACGAUGUGUGUUGUCCCAUGAUGUCAGCAUGGGAUCUUCACAAGGCAUGGCCAGAGUCUGAACUUAGGGUUGUUCCAGAUGCUGGACACUCGGCUAACGAACCAGGAGUAUCGGCAGAACUUGUGGCUGCGAAUGAGAAGCUGAAAAGCAUCGUAAAGGGAAUUGCAUUCUAAGGUGAAGUUGUUUUCUAGUCGUUGGCAAAUCUUCUUAUAUAUGGUCUUGUUCUAAAAGAGUGAACAUGGAAUAAAAUAGUGAUCUGAUGGUUUGUUUGUUCAUUCAUAAAAUUGAAAUAUUCAAAAUGGGCUUACAAAUAA
Molecule: long non-coding RNA, 430 nt
Organism: Impatiens glandulifera
Lineage: Eukaryota; Viridiplantae; Streptophyta; Magnoliopsida; Ericales; Balsaminaceae
Exons: 3
Source: RefSeq, a predicted model, not a curated record